This 91-nucleotide small nucleolar RNA is filed under the name Theobroma cacao (cacao). RNAcentral describes it as "Small nucleolar RNA SNORD96 family". It matches the Rfam family "Small nucleolar RNA SNORD96 family". Rfam says of the family: snoRNA Z37 is a member of the C/D class of snoRNA which contain the C (UGAUGA) and D (CUGA) box motifs. Z37 acts as a methylation guide for 5.8S ribosomal RNA. Lineage: Eukaryota; Viridiplantae; Streptophyta; Magnoliopsida; Malvales; Malvaceae. The record is from Rfam by way of RNAcentral.
UGGCCCAUGAGGAUACCAAUCACAAAUUACACCAUCUUUCGGGACUGAAUGGCUUCUCAAGCCUUGCUGUCAUUCUGCAAUUCUGAGGCCC